RNAcentral lists this ribosomal RNA (253 nucleotides) under uncultured bacterium. RNAcentral describes it as "partial 16S ribosomal RNA". It matches the Rfam family "Bacterial small subunit ribosomal RNA", at positions 524 to 776 of the family's 1533-position model. The record is from RNAcentral.
UACGUAGGGGGCUAGCGUUGUUCGGAAUUACUGGGCGUAAAGGGCGCGUAGGCUGUGCUGUAAGUCAGGCGUGAAAUCCCCGGGCUCAACCUGGGAAUUGCGUUUGAUACUGCGGCGCUGGAAUGCAGGAGAGGAUGGCGGAAUUCCCAGUGUAGAGGUGAAAUUCGUAGAUAUUGGGAAGAACACCGGUGGCGAAGGCGGCCAUCUGGCCUGUAAUUGACGCUGAGGCGCGAAAGCGUGGGGAGCAAACAGG